Molecule: ribosomal RNA, 336 nt
Filed under: uncultured soil bacterium
Lineage: Bacteria
Description: bacterial SSU rRNA
Rfam family: Bacterial small subunit ribosomal RNA
Source: RNAcentral
AGAUUGAACGCUGGCGGCAUGCCUAACACAUGCAAGUCGAACGGGAGUAGCAAUACUCUAGUGGCGGACGGGUGAGGAAUACGUAGGAAUUUGCCCUUAAGUGGGGGAUAACCCGGGGAAACCCGGAUUAAUACCGCAUGACCUCGAAAGAGCAAAGUGGGGGAUCGCAAGACCUCACGCUUUUGGAGAAGCCUACGUCGGAUUAGCUAGUUGGUGAGGUAAUGGCUCACCAAGGCGACGACGGGUAGCUGGUCUGAGAGGACGACCAGCCACACUGGAACUGAGAUACGGUCCAGACUCCUACGGGAGCAGCAGUGGGAAUCUUGCACAAUGGGC